RNAcentral lists this ribosomal RNA (468 nucleotides) under uncultured bacterium. RNAcentral's name for it is "partial 16S ribosomal RNA". It matches the Rfam family "Bacterial small subunit ribosomal RNA", at positions 28 to 507 of the family's 1533-position model. The record is from RNAcentral.
GACGAACGCUGGCGGCGUGCUUAACACAUGCAAGUCGAACGGAAAGGCCCUGCUUUUGUGGGGUGCUCGAGUGGCGAACGGGUGAGUAACACGUGAGUAACCUGCCCUUGACUUUGGGAUAACUUCAGGAAACUGGGGCUAAUACCGGAUAGGAGCUCCUGCUGCAUGGUGGGGGUUGGAAAGUUUCGGCGGUUGGGGAUGGACUCGCGGCUUAUCAGCUUGAUGGUGGGGUAGUGGCUUACCAAGGCUUUGACGGGUAGCCGGCCUGAGAGGGUGACCGGCCACAUUGGGACUGAGAUACGGCCCAGACUCCUACGGGAGGCAGCAGUGGGGAAUAUUGCACAAUGGGCGGAAGCCUGAUGCAGCAACGCCGCGUGCGGGAUGACGGGCUUCGGGUUGUAAACCGCUUUCGCCUGUGACGAAGCGUGAGUGACGGUAAUGGGUAAAGAAGCACCGGCUAACUACGUG